RNAcentral lists this ribosomal RNA (400 nucleotides) under uncultured bacterium. Its description in RNAcentral is "bacterial SSU rRNA". It matches the Rfam family "Bacterial small subunit ribosomal RNA", at positions 359 to 776 of the family's 1533-position model. The record is from RNAcentral.
GAAUAUUGGACAAUGGGCGCAAGCCUGAUCCAGCCAUGCUGCGUGAGUGAAGAAGGCCCUAGGGUUGUAAAGCUCUUUCGCACGCGACGAUGAUGACGGUAGCGUGAGAAGAAGCCCCGGCUAACUUCGUGCCAGCAGCCGCGGUAAUACGAAGGGGGCAAGCGUUGUUCGGAAUUACUGGGCGUAAAGGGCGCGUAGGCGGAUAUUCAAGUCAGAGGUGAAAGCCCUGGGCUCAACCCGGGAACUGCCUUUGAAACUGGAUGUCUUGAGUCUGGGAGAGGGUGGCGGAAUACCCAGUGUAGAGGUGAAAUUCGUAGAUAUUGGGUAGAACACCAGUGGCGAAGGCGGUCACCUGGCCCAUAACUGACGCUGAGGCGCGAAAGCGUGGGGAGCAAACAGG